Molecule: transfer RNA, 73 nt
Filed under: Holophagales bacterium
Lineage: Bacteria; Pseudomonadati; Acidobacteriota; Holophagae; Holophagales
Description: tRNA-Ala
Rfam family: tRNA
About the family: Transfer RNA (tRNA) molecules are approximately 80 nucleotides in length.
Source: RNAcentral
GGGGCUGUAGCUCAGCUGGGAGAGCGCUGCAAUCGCACUGCAGAGGUCGACGGUUCGAUCCCGUUCAGCUCCA